GACGGGACCGCACAAGCGGUGGAUGAUGUGGAUAAUUCGAUGCAACGCGAAAACCUUACCUACCCUUGACAUGUCUGGAACCUUGCUGAGAGGCGAGGGUGCCUUCGGGAGCCAGAACACAGGUGCUGCAUGGCUGUCGUCAGCUCGUGUCGUGAGAUGUUCGGUUAAGUCCGCUAACGAGCGCAACCCUCACUGUGUGUUAUAUGUGUCACACGGGACUGCCGGUUUUAAGCCGGAGGAAGGUGGGAUGACGUCAAGUCAGCAUGGCCUUUAUAUCCUGGGCUACACACGCUACAAUGGUCGGUACAAUAGGUUGCCAAGCCGCGAGGCGGAGCCAAUCCACAAAGCCGGCCUCAGUUCAGAUUGUAGGCUGCAACUCGCCUGCAUGAAGAUGGAGUUGCUAGUAACCGCAGGUCAGCAAUACUGCGGUGAAUACGUUCCCGGGUCUU
RNAcentral lists this ribosomal RNA (449 nucleotides) under uncultured Anaerolineaceae bacterium. RNAcentral describes it as "bacterial SSU rRNA". It matches the Rfam family "Bacterial small subunit ribosomal RNA", at positions 917 to 1381 of the family's 1533-position model. Lineage: Bacteria; Bacillati; Chloroflexota; Anaerolineae; Anaerolineales; Anaerolineaceae. The record is from RNAcentral.